GUGCUUGCUUCAGCAGCACAUAUACUAAAAUUGGAAUGAUACAGAGAAGAUCAGCAUGGCCCCUGCGCAAGGAUGACAUGCAAACAGCGAAAUGAACUUAGGGUGAUU
Molecule: small nuclear RNA, 108 nt
Organism: Gracilinanus agilis (Agile Gracile Mouse Opossum)
Lineage: Eukaryota; Metazoa; Chordata; Mammalia; Didelphimorphia; Didelphidae
Source: RefSeq, a predicted model, not a curated record